AGGGGCGGGGUUUUCCAUUAAAAAAACUUGGAUGUCCUCGACUUUUUUUUGGGUCCGUAAUUUCCCACCAACUUUUCCGGCUCGGGAUGCAGGAAUGGAGCAGUCCGAUAACACUCCCCCCAUAAUAUCCGAGCGGCUCAUCGUCGACGGCACGGAGACGCCGGUGGCGCUGCUAGCCGACGGCAGACUGCGGUGGUCCAAUGGAGUUCGGCGGUGUUUACAUGUUGACAAAGAGGUUCUCGGGUUCGUCACUGAUGGUGUCAGCAUCAAGAUCAAAACCAUCCUGGAGGCUGUUGAUGGCUGCUGUCAUGGAAGCAGAAAACUGGUUAGAAAGGAUAUCGUGUUUCAACCCUUGUCUGAGGAAUCCCAAAGGCUUUGGUCCCAAAAGCUUCGUGAAUACCUUGAUUCGCUUGGUCGUCCUAAAAGACUUUUUAUUUUUCUUAAUCCAUUUGGUGGGAAGAAAACUGCCCCCAUGGUCUUCAAUGAUCAUGUAAAACCUCUUCUUGAAGAUGCGGAAAUCCAAAUCACAGUCCAAGAAACCAAACAUCAGUUCCAUGCAAAGGAAGUUGCUCAUGCUCUAGAUAUUCCUAAGUAUGAUGGGAUCAUAUGUGUUAGCGGUGAUGGAAUUUUGGUUGAGGUUAUAAAUGGACUACUUGAAAGAGAUGAUUGGGAAACUGCCGUAAAGAUACCUAUUGGUGUAGUUCCUGCAGGUACGGGUAAUGGUGUGGCAAAAUCUCUUCUUGAUUCUGUUGGUGAUCCUUGCACAGCUGUUAAUGCUGCUCUUGCCAUUAUACGAGGCCAUAAACGAUCACUAGAUGUGGCUACAAUCACCCAAGGGGGAACCAGAUUUUUUAGUGUUUUGAUGCUUGCCUGGGGGCUGGUGGCAGAUGUUGAUAUUGAAUCUGAAAAAUAUCGGUGGAUGGGUAGUGCUCGUUUUGAUUUUUAUGCUCUUAAUCGAAUUUUCCAUUUGAGGCAAUACAAUGGACGUAUUUCUUUCGUGCCUGCACCUGGGUUUGAAACUCAUGGGGAGCCUGCUAGCUACCCUGCCAAAUCCACUAGCAUUGACUGCAAAAGUACAUCAACUGAAUUGGAACCUAUCAAGUUACAGAGUCUUAGGUAUCGGGGACCUGACAUCAACUUGGAGAAUUUGAGUUGGAGAGUUAUAAACGGACCAUUUAUUUCUCUUUGGAUGCACAAUGUACCUUGGGGUACUGAAAACUUGAUGGCAGCACCUGAAGCACAGGUUGGUUGAUGUGUCCAAAAUUAAAAUGCAGACAAUAGCGUGCGACUAGCAGAGGAGUCACAGUUGAGCAGCUCGAGACCUUCGUCCAUGGGCUCGAGCGCCGAGAACUCCCUAUCGUACACCCAUGGAGGAACUCCAUUCGGGUUGAGUUCUGCUGAAAGGUCCUCUGUUUUACUGGUGUUCGAUAAAUUCAACGGACAUAAUUACUGUGAGUGGGCUCAAGCUAUACGGCUCGCUAUUAGUGGUCGUGGCAAAUUAGGCUUCAUCACUGGUACUUCUAAGGUACUAAACGAGUCAGACGUAGCAGCCCUGUCGAAGUGGGAGACCGAGAACUUGCUAGUUGCUUCAUGGUUGGUCACAGUUCUGACUUCAUAGGUUCGACACUCUUUCAUGUUUCUGCCUAUUGCGAGAGACAUCUGGGAAGCUGUUUGAGAAUCAUACUCGAAGACAGUGCUCGAACAUAUGAGUAGAAAACUCGAAGUUGGUAGAUUAAAUAAGUUGAACGUGAUUUGACCGAAUAUUGGUUAGAACUAGUUGCAAUAUGGUAGGUGAUCAACCUCAACAUAGAAGAGGAAUGGUCCUGUGCCCGUGAUGCAGCAAGGUACAAAAAACGAGUUGAGGAUGAGCGGGUGUUUCAAUUUUUGGCUGGUCUUCAUCACUCAUUAGAUGAUGUCUGAAGCAGAAUCCUAGCUCACUCGCUAUUAUCCUCGGCACGAGAUGCAUUUGGAGAAGUCCGUAGAGAGACUUCUCGUCGAAAGGUGAUGCUUACUGACUAUGUUCCCGUAUCUUCCUCUUCUGAAUCUUUUGCCUUGGUAAGUAGGAACUUUGAUCAAGGUACGAAAGAGAUAAAAGGGAAAAUCUUGUGUGAUCAUUGUAAAAAGACUGGUCACACAAAGGGCAAGUGUUGGGAUCUUCAUGGGAAGCUUGCUGAUUGGAAACCAUGCAAGGGUAAGGCACGUGGAUAUCAAGCUACUUCUGAAAAUGCCCUUGACAAAUCUUUUGCUAUCCCUCAAAUGGAUAAAGACCAGUUAAUUAAGCUCCCAGAGGUGUUAAAUACGCUACAACGACCUGAGCAACCAUCUCAAAACCCACACACUAUUUCUGUGGCUAAGCAAGGAUCCCACAUCGGGGAAGAUGAUUGGCAGUGCUGAGAAGUGUGAUUGCUAUAUUACCUUAAUGAAUCAACUUUCUCAGACGGUUAUGCGGACUUAAUCAUUAUCAAGGACUGCCCAAGAUUACCAUUACUGUCAGUGAUGUCUGAGAUGAGCAAUGGACGUCACGUGAAAUCUCCGUAUGUCAUCUACCUUAAGGU
This is an RNA transcript of Prosopis cineraria, 2555 nucleotides long. It is a transcript of the gene named sphingosine kinase 1-like, with no coding region annotated. The record is from RefSeq and is a predicted model, not a curated record. The transcript is spliced from 11 exons. NCBI's taxonomy places the organism in Eukaryota, Viridiplantae, Streptophyta, Magnoliopsida, Fabales, Fabaceae.